AGCUUGAGACCAGCCUAGGCAAGACAGUGAGAUAUCCUGUCUCUUUAAAACAAAACAAAACAAAAACCAGUAAAUAAUGAGCAUAGAUCCUUUAGGACCAGUGAACACUGAUGUAACAUUUGGUCUGUCUUUUCUUGAAUCUUCUCAAUCAUGUUGUAGGGAAAGCAGUGGUCAUUCUUCCAGCUCAUAAAAUCACAUUGUUAUUGUUACUGUUACUAAAGGAGUUAGGCCCUAGCUUGAAUCAAAAAUGUAAUUAAAAUUACAUUUCUAUUAAGCUUUUGUUGGACUUUCCAUUUAGGAGAAAAACUACAUGUGGUUUCUGAUUGUGUCCUUUGAAUUAAUGAAGGCCUAGGCUGGGAAUCAGAUUCAUACCUUGCUGUUCAAUACCACGUGAUCAUCUCUGUUCAGACAGUAUUUCAGAAACUCCCGUACAGACCUUGUUCCUGUAGUUUACAGUUUGGAGACUUCUAGUCAAUUAUACACAACUGGAUUUGAUAGACCAACAUCUUUAAAGGUCAUAAGAAGGCUUCUAAAGACUCACGUCCAACAUCAGAAAGAUCUGCUAUCUUAGGAGCUGGAGUUUGAAAAUGGCAGCAAGUUAAAAGUCAACUCUAUUUCAAAGAAAAAGUUUCAAACUAUUAAAUUUAACUAACAGCCUCAGUGGGAACCUUACAGUAUUGACCCUGCACACUGUAAAAUAUGUACUGCUUACAAUAAAAAAAAGAUGGUUUAGCACUUGUUUACAAUACAGCAUGAGGUAUUUUCAGCCCUUGUAUAGAAAUUAACCAGAAUCGUUAGUUAAUUAACACCUCACCUUAAAAUUGGUCUCGCCUUGCAUAUUAGGUGCUGAUAUUUCUUGAUGGAUGAUGAAGAGAUGGCGAGCAAAGGUCAUGAGGACCCCCUGGAGAUCCUCGCCGAUUGUUCUGUUAAUGAUAUCCAAACAAAUGAGUUUACCAACGAUUCCCUUCACAUGCUUAAAAACAAUCGCCCUCUCAUUUGUGCCUGUCUGGUGAUGGAAUUUAAUGAGUAUUUUCAAUCUCACAAGGUGGCAAUCUUCAGGGAGAUAUGAAAGAUGAGACUCCAUUUUAACUUGUCAACAAAAAGGAUUUGCGUAAUAAAUAUUUUUUAUUAAUCAA
Long non-coding RNA from Homo sapiens (human), 1136 nucleotides. RefSeq lists it as uncharacterized. The record is from RefSeq and is a predicted model, not a curated record. NCBI's taxonomy places the organism in Eukaryota, Metazoa, Chordata, Mammalia, Primates, Hominidae. The transcript has 2 exons.